RNAcentral lists this ribosomal RNA (434 nucleotides) under Streptomyces sp. PC4001. Its description in RNAcentral is "bacterial SSU rRNA". It matches the Rfam family "Bacterial small subunit ribosomal RNA", at positions 87 to 535 of the family's 1533-position model. The record is from RNAcentral. Lineage: Bacteria; Bacillati; Actinomycetota; Actinomycetes; Kitasatosporales; Streptomycetaceae.
GUGGAUUAGUGGCGAACGGGUGAGUAACACGUGGGCAAUCUGCCCUUCACUCUGGGACAAGCCCUGGAAACGGGGUCUAAUACCGGAUACGACUGCGGGAGGCAUCUCCUGUGGUGGAAAGCUCCGGCGGUGAAGGAUGAGCCCGCGGCCUAUCAGCUUGUUGGUGAGGUAACGGCUCACCAAGGCGACGACGGGUAGCCGGCCUGAGAGGGCGACCGGCCACACUGGGACUGAGACACGGCCCAGACUCCUACGGGAGGCAGCAGUGGGGAAUAUUGCACAAUGGGCGAAAGCCUGAUGCAGCGACGCCGCGUGAGGGAUGACGGCCUUCGGGUUGUAAACCUCUUUCAGCAGGGAAGAAGCGAAAGUGACGGUACCUGCAGAAGAAGCGCCGGCUAACUACGUGCCAGCAGCCGCGGUAAUACGUAGGGCGC